AGAGUUUGAUCCUGGCUCAGAGCGAACGCUGGCGGCAGGCCUAACACAUGCAAGUCGAACGAACCCUUCGGGGUUAGUGGCGGACGGGUGAGUAACACGUGGGAACGUACCUUUAGGUUCGGAACAACACAGGGAAACUUGUGCUAAUGCCGAAUGUGCCCUUCGGGGGAAAGAUUUAUCGCCUUUAGAGCGGCCCGCGUCUGAUUAGCUUGUUGGUGAGGUAAAGGCUCACCAAGGCUUCGAUCAGUAGCUGGUCUGAGAGGAUGAUCAGCCACACUGGGACUGAGACACGGCCCAGACUCCUACGGGAGGCAGCAGUGGGGAAUCUUGCGCAAUGGGCGAAAGCCUGACGCAGCCAUGCCGCGUGAAUGAUGAAGGUCUUAGGAUUGUAAAAUUCUUUCACCGGGGAAGAUAAUGACGGUACCCGGAGAAGAAGCCCCGGCUAACUUCGUG
This 453-nucleotide ribosomal RNA is filed under the name uncultured bacterium. RNAcentral describes it as "bacterial SSU rRNA". It matches the Rfam family "Bacterial small subunit ribosomal RNA", at positions 8 to 507 of the family's 1533-position model. The record is from RNAcentral.